AUACGUAGGUGGCGAGCGUUGUCCGGAAUUACUGGGCGUAAAGGGUGCGUAGGCGGAUAAUCAAGUCAGAUGUGAAAGUCCAUGGCUCAACUGUGGGAGUGCAUUUGAGACUGAAGAUCUAGAGUGCAGGAGAGGGAAGCGGAAUUCCUAGUGUAGCGGUGAAAUGCGUAGAUAUUAGGAAGAACACCAGUGGCGAAGGCGGCUUUCUGGACUGUAACUGACGCUGAAGCACGAAAGCGUGGGGAGCAAACAGGCUUAGAUACCCUGGUAGUCCACGCUGUAGACGAUGAGUAUUAGGUGUAGGGGACGAUAGUCUUCUGUGCCGGAGCAAACGCAAUAAAUACUCCGCCUGGGGAGUACGGUCGCAAGACUAAA
RNAcentral lists this ribosomal RNA (375 nucleotides) under uncultured bacterium. Its description in RNAcentral is "bacterial SSU rRNA". It matches the Rfam family "Bacterial small subunit ribosomal RNA", at positions 523 to 898 of the family's 1533-position model. The record is from RNAcentral.